Molecule: ribosomal RNA, 433 nt
Filed under: uncultured bacterium
Lineage: Bacteria
Description: partial 16S ribosomal RNA
Rfam family: Bacterial small subunit ribosomal RNA
Source: RNAcentral
AACGAACGCUGGCGGCAUGCCUAACACAUGCAAGUCGAACGAUCCCUUCGGGGAUAGUUGCGCACGCGUGCGUCACGCGUGGGAACCUGCCCUUAGGUUCGGAAUAACUCAGAGAAAUUUGAGCUAAUACCGGAUAAUGUCUUCGGACCAAAGAUUUAUCGCCUUUGGUUGGGCCGGCGUUGGUUUAGCUAGUUGGUGGUGUAAAGGCCUACCACGGCUACGAUCCCUAGCUGGUCUGAGAGAAUGAGCCGCCACACUGGGACUGAGCCACGGCCGAGAAUACUACGCGAGGGAGGAGAGGGUAAUAUUGGAAAAUGGCCGGAAGGCUGAACCAGCAAGGGUGGGAGAGUGAUGAAGGCGGUAGAGUAGUAAAGCUCUUUUAUCCGGGAUGAUAAUGACGGUACCGGGAGAAUAAGCCCCGGCUAACUUCGUG